CCGCACAAGGUUUGACUGGGAUACUCAUCAAAUAAUACUGAAAACCGAGAAUGCUUACGCACUCCAAUGGCGGGCCGCGCCCUGUGAAGGGUAGUCAGCGAUGACCGGCGGAUUACAAAGGAUGCGGGCGCUCAAAACUUAUUUACUCGGAGUUUCAUCACAUCACCGAAGUGCGGCUUUUU
RNAcentral lists this small RNA (182 nucleotides) under bovine gut metagenome. RNAcentral's name for it is "Bacteroidales-1 6S-Bacteroidales RNA suggested". It matches the Rfam family "Bacteroidales-1 6S-Bacteroidales RNA suggested". The record is from RNAcentral. RNAcentral also lists the same sequence under 1 other name.